UAGAUUUACUGAUUUACUAUUUAGAAUAGAUUCUAGAUUCUAGAAUCUACCAUGAAAUGGCUAUGCAUCUGCAGCAUAGAAUUAGAUUUAGUUAAAAAAGGACUUACUAGAUCUUAAAUCUAAAUCUACUACCUUUUAACUUUUAGGGCAGAAUAUUAGAUCUAGUCAUCUAGUCUAUAUGCCUAUCUAGUCACGUAACUGUAAACUAAUACUUAGACUUAGGACUUUGGACACUUUGAGUUGAAGAUAUCUACUUGGUAGUCUAAACCUCAAAGGAGCUUAGGGAAGUGAUGGCAGUUGCAGGGUAUGAACCAGACGACCAUGCAGAGACCAACGAGGCGACCAAACAGUCCAUCGUGCAUACCACAUAACCAGGUCCAGAAUGCCAGUUUUCUUUAAGGGCAGCUGACAAUAAGAAUUGUCUAUGUAUGCACUACAGAUGCUGUUCAAUAUCUUUUCAUGAGGAAGCCUGCUCAAAAAGAUCGCCACAUUUUCUUUAGGGGAAGUUGACAUUAAUCUUUUAGGUUAAUAAUAACCUAUGCAUGCAGUACAGAUGCUGUUCAUCAUCUUUUCAUAAGCAAGCCUGCUCAAGAAGCUGCUGCAUGGAAGUCAAAAUAUGAAUUAUUGCCACCAGUCUUGAAGUCAGCUUGUUAAGAAUGCUAAGAAUUGAAUGAAAAUGCUGUCUUGAUAUCUUGUUUGUGCUGUUAUAUUGGUCUUUUGUGUUGGUUAAUUAUUCCAUGAAUAAAAAAUAAAAAAAAGUUAAUUGUGUAAGUUUGAUUUAAGAAUAAAUGAUCAGAGCAUGCAAGUCUUAUAUAGUACGUUACCAAAAAUUGUAUUGUUUGAUAGUGUUCAAACCCAAAAAUGUAAUUUAACUUGUCCAUUACUUUAUAAAUAUGUUGACAUUAUAGCUAGAUGUAUAUAGAAAUCAUGCACUGAUUCAAUUAUUAUAAUUUCCAAAUAAUUCUAUUGCUAGAUCUAAAUCAUCAGUGUGAAAGUAGACCUAUGUAAAAGGUUAAAAAUCUCAUACUAAACCAUUGAGCUGCAUUUGAACAAAAAGGGCAUUAUAAACAAAAAAUCACUAAUGAAUUUGUUUUAAACUACAGUAUUGAAAAACAUUAAAGAUUAUUCCUAAUUAAGCCAUAAUAAAAUUUAAUGACUGAACCAUCGGAGACAGUAUUUGCAUGAUAAUACCUAAUUGAGCCCUAAUAAAUAUUUCAGUUACUAAACCAUUAGGGCCAGCAUCGGACCGAUAAUGGCACAAUAAGGGUUAUCCCUAAUUGAACCCUAAUUAAUAUUUCAAUUACUAAACCAUUAUGGCCAGCAUCGGACCGAUAUUGGCACAAUAAGGGUUAUCCCUAAUUGAACCCUAAUUAAUAUUUCAAUUACUAAACCAUUAGGGCCAGCAUUGGACCAAUAAUGGCACAAUAAGGGUUAUCCCUAAUUGAACCCUAAUUAAUAUUUCAAUUACUAAACCAUUAUGGCCAGCAUCGGACAGAUAUUGGCACAAUAAGGGUUAUCCCUAAUUAAACCCCAAUGAAAAUCUCAGUUACUAAACCAUUGGGGCUAGUAUGGGCUUGAUUAGGGCGCGAUUCUGGAAAUCCCCAAUGAAUCCGGAAGUGGGUUUACCCAUUCUGGGCCGAUAUUGGCACGAUUAGGGUAGCCCGUAUUGGUCCCUUAUGGGAACCUAAUGACGCCAAUGUGCAAACGGUAUGCGCGCCCAUUAGGGCGCGAUUUGGGCUAUUUAGGGCUGCAAUUAGGGCAAAGGGGGAUAACCCUAAUUAAAACUGAUACUGGGCCGUAAUGGGCAUGUUUAUAGGGUAACGUGGGGCAAAAAGCCCUUCGGGGUAAAAGGCCUUUCUUAAUUUUUGUGCGAAUGGCUUAUUGGAUGAUUCAAAUUAAGACUUCCUGAGAUAGCUUACUUCCGUUCUUUUAAUGCACGUUGAGCUUGAUGCAGUAGCUUGUCAAUUUAUCGUCACAGAUCACUUUGAAUUUUUCUACCUAUCUCACUAUAAGGUAAGGGCUCAUUUUAUUUGUCUGUAUUUUUAUUAUGUGUUAUUUUAUCCUUAAUUGUAAAUAUUCUUUGCAAAGGAUUUUCAAAGUAAAUCCUUAUAGAUGUUGCUAUACUCUAAAAGCGACAUUGUGAAAGUUAAUAUAUUGAUCGUUUCAACAUCACCUAUGUUGGGGUAAAACGCCCAUUUGAGUUGGGGGCAGGAAGCCUUUAUCGAAAUCUGGUCUUAAAAGAUCUAGAUCUAUAAAAUCUAGAAAUCUCUAUAUAAAAUUUAGACUUCAUUGUCGCUAGAUUUAAGUUAUUCUAGAUUUAUAUUAACUAGACUAGAUUCUAGAUCUAUAAUUGUAUAAUAUACAAAUAAUCUACAAAAUUCUAGAUUCUAGCCUGGAAUCUAGAUCUAAGAAUAAAUUAUUUUAAUUAUUAAUACAAGUUCAAUAGGUCUAAAAUGUAAAUUAGAAAAGUAUAUCUAAACUAGAACUAUUAUAAAUAAAUCUAAUAGAAUAUCUAGUCUAGAUCUAGUAGAUCUAUUUCUAUAUGUCUUGACUAUAAUACUAGAUCUAUAUCUUUAUAUUUUAUAUAAAUCUAUAAUAAUAAAUUUUUAUUCUGACUAGUGAUUUAGGGUAUUCUAGUCAAUCCAGAUGAGACAGCAAUUAGUAUGCGUAUUUGUGAUACUUAGAUUAGAAAGUAAUAGUAAGAUCUAUUACGGCUGUAGAUCUAGUCUAUAAAUUAUACCUUAUUAUUAAGUUUAACUAUAGAUAUAUAUUUUCUGUUUGUAAAAUGUUUCAGAUGUUCCUUCAGAGUUGAAGACCAAACCUCCCGCAGGAUGACAGGGGAUGGGAGCGGGCAGGGUUUGAACCCUGGACCACCGACAAAUCUGAACGACAGUCAUGCGCGCAAACCGCACGACCAAGCAGCCAUCCAUUUUCUAGAUCUUUAUUAUUUAUUCUACUUUUGCCUGCUAUGUUUGGAAUAUAUAUCUUUUGAGAUCCAUAAGCUUUUAAAGUUUAAAAUGUUCGCAAUUUAAUUUUUUUUAAUGGACCUCAUUCACCAAUCGUAAACAAACAACAUUUAGCCACGUGGCGCUCUAUCUCUUCUAUAUAAUUUAAGAUCUCAUGUUUAAUUCAUGAUGGUUGUCACGUUUGUAAAAUGUUUCAGAUGUUCCUUCAGAGUUGAAGACCAAACCUCCCGCAGGAUGACAGGGGAUGGGAGCGGGCAGGGUUUGAACCCUGGACCACCGACAAAUCUGAACGACAGUCAUGCGCGCAAACCGCACGACCAAGCAGCCAUCCAUUUUCUAGAUCUUUAUUAUUUAUUCUACUUUUGCCUGCUAUGUUUGGAAUAUAUAUCUUUUGAGAUCCAUAAGCUUUUAAAGUUUAAAAUGUUCGCAAUUUAAUUUUUUUUAAUGGACCUCAUUCACCAAUCGUAAACAAACAACAUUUAGCCACGUGGCGCUCUAUCUCUUCUAUAUAAUUUAAGAUCUCAUGUUUAAUUCAUGAUGGUUGUCACGUGACAGUUUUUCCUAUUGCUUUAUCGAUAAGAUCACGUGACUAAAUGUUGUUCGUUUAUGAUUGGUGAAUGAGGUCCAUUUUUAAUUUUAUUUUUUUCAUUUCAGAAAAUGGUAAGAAAUUACCAGAGAAAAACUCAAGGCUCGUAUGGACAACAAAACUUGACAGAAGCUUUAAAAGCUAUCGCUGAUGGGAUGCCACUUAACAAUGUCUCCGAAAAAAUUACAUUUAUAAUUAUUAAAUAUUUCACUUAUACUUUUUAAA
Long non-coding RNA from Biomphalaria glabrata, 3777 nucleotides. RefSeq lists it as uncharacterized. The record is from RefSeq and is a predicted model, not a curated record. The transcript has 5 exons. Lineage: Eukaryota; Metazoa; Mollusca; Gastropoda; Planorbidae.